Long non-coding RNA from Protopterus annectens (West African lungfish), 521 nucleotides. RefSeq lists it as uncharacterized. The record is from RefSeq and is a predicted model, not a curated record. The transcript is spliced from 3 exons. Lineage: Eukaryota; Metazoa; Chordata; Ceratodontiformes; Protopteridae.
AUGUUCAUAUACCCUUUGUUGGAUUUUUCUCUCCGUUUUCACAAUACAGUAGGUAUGUUCAUACACCCUUUGUUUGAGGUUUCUCUCCGUUUUCACAAUACAGUCGGUAUGUUCAUAUACCCUUUGUUUGAGGUUUCUCUCCGUUUUCACAAUACAGUAGGUAUGUUCAUACACCCUUUGUUUGAUUUUUCUCUCCGUUUUCACAAUACAGUCGGUAUGUUCAUAUACCCUUUGUUUGAUUUUUCUCUCCGUUUUCACAAUACAGUAGGUAUGUUCAUACACCCUUUGUUUGAGGUUUCUCUCCGUUUUCACAAUACAGUCGGUAUGUUCAUAUACCCUUUGUUUGAGGUUUCUCUCUGUUUUCACAAUACAGUAGGUAUGUUCACACACCCUUUGUUUGGUUUUUCUCUCCGUUUUCACAAUACAGUCGGUAUGUUCAUACACCCUUUGUUUGAUUUUUCUCUCCGUUUUCACAAUACAGUCGGUAUGUUCAUAUACCCUUUGUUUGAUUUUUCUCUCCA